GCUUCCGUGGAUGAGCGGUGAUCACCUCAGCUUUGUGAAGGGGCAUUGCAUUUAUGAGGAGCCGUGGGUUCGAAUCCAACUGGAGGCA
This is a non-coding RNA of Mycena leptocephala, 88 nucleotides long. NCBI's taxonomy places the organism in Eukaryota, Fungi, Basidiomycota, Agaricomycetes, Agaricales, Mycenaceae. The record is from the annotation of a GenBank genome assembly.